CCUCAUUAGAAUUACAUCCAAUCCAAGUUUGUAAAUAGUUGGGAGGCAGCCCAUGCCUCUCAGGGAUUGGAUAUUUAAGAAGGGAUGAAUAGACCCUCCCACAGUCUGCCUCCCAACUGUUUACAAACUUUGAUUGGAUGUAAUUCUAAGGU
Non-coding RNA from Pelobates cultripes (western spadefoot toad), 152 nucleotides. The record is from the annotation of a GenBank genome assembly. Lineage: Eukaryota; Metazoa; Chordata; Amphibia; Anura; Pelobatidae.